GGUUAUAUAUGGGGCUAAACCGUGUCNGUGGGGCUUUUUAANCGUAUAGUUAGAUCCUGGCUCNGAUUGAACGAUGUCGCCUGGCUUAACACAUGCAAGUCGAGCGGGGGAAGGUAGCUUNCUACCGGACCUAGCGGCGGACGGGUGAGUAAUGNNUAGGAAUCUGCCUAUUAGUGGCAGACAUCAUCUCGAAAGCGAUGCUAAUACCGCAUACGUCCUACGAGAGAAAGCAGGGGAUCUUUGGACCUUGCGCUAAUAGAUGAGCCUAAGUCGGAUUAGCUAGUUGGUGGGGUAAAGGCCUACCAAGGCGACGAUCUGUAGCGGGUCUGAGAGGAUGAUCCGCCACACUGGGAAUGAGACACGGCCCAGACUCGUACGGGAGGCAGCAGUGGGGAAUAUUGGACAAUGGGGGGAACCCUGAUCCAGCCAUGCCGCGUGUGUGAAGAAGGCCUUAUGGUUGUAAAGCACUUUAAGCGAGGAGGAGGCUACUUUAGUUAAUACCUAGAGAUAGUGGACGUUACUCGCAGAAUAAGCACCGGCUAACUCUGUGCCAGCAGCCGCGGUAAUACAGAGGGUGCGAGCGUUAAUCGGAUUUACUGGGCGUAAAGCGUGCGUAGGCGGCUUAUUAAGUCGGAUGUGAAAUCCCCGAGCUUAACUUGGGAAUUGCAUUCGAUACUGGUGAGCUAGAGUAUGGGAGAGGAUGGUAGAAUUCCAGGUGUAGCGGUGAAAUGCGUAGAGAUCUGGAGGAAUACCGAUGGCGAAGGCAGCCAUCUGGCCUAAUACUGACGCUGAGGUACGAAAGCAUGGGGAGCAAACAGGAUUAGAUACCCUGGUAGUCCAUGCCGUAAACGAAAUGNACUAGCCGUUGGGGCCUUUGAGGCUUUAUGUGGACGCGACAUAACGCGACUAACAUAGCNGCCACCCGNGGAGCACCNNC
This 937-nucleotide ribosomal RNA is filed under the name Acinetobacter baumannii. RNAcentral's name for it is "bacterial SSU rRNA". It matches the Rfam family "Bacterial small subunit ribosomal RNA", at positions 1 to 887 of the family's 1533-position model. Lineage: Bacteria; Pseudomonadati; Pseudomonadota; Gammaproteobacteria; Moraxellales; Moraxellaceae. The record is from RNAcentral.